GGGCCUGUAGCUCAGUUGGUUAGAGCAGCGGACUCAUAAUCCGUUGGUCGGAGGUUCGAGUCCUCCCGGGCCCACCA
RNAcentral lists this transfer RNA (77 nucleotides) under Flavobacteriaceae bacterium. RNAcentral's name for it is "tRNA-Met". It matches the Rfam family "tRNA". Rfam says of the family: Transfer RNA (tRNA) molecules are approximately 80 nucleotides in length. Their secondary structure includes four short double-helical elements and three loops (D, anti-codon, and T loops). Further hydrogen bonds mediate the characteristic L-shaped molecular structure. tRNAs have two regions of fundamental functional importance: the anti-codon, which is responsible for specific mRNA codon recognition, and the 3' end, to which the tRNAs corresponding amino acid is attached (by aminoacyl-tRNA synthetases). tRNAs cope with the degeneracy of the genetic code in two manners: having more than one tRNA (with a specific anti-codon) for a particular amino acid; and 'wobble' base-pairing, i.e. permitting non-standard base-pairing at the 3rd anti-codon position. The record is from RNAcentral. RNAcentral also lists the same sequence under 5 other names. Lineage: Bacteria; Pseudomonadati; Bacteroidota; Flavobacteriia; Flavobacteriales; Flavobacteriaceae.